UGAAGCAACAAAUGCCCUGCUUCCAGGAAAAGCCUCUAAGCAUCAGGUAACAUCAAAUCGUACCCCAAACCGACACAGGUGGUCAGGUAGAGAAUACCAAGGCGCUUGAGAGAACUCGGGUGAAGGAACUAGGCAAAAUGGUGCCGUAACUUCGGGAGAAGGCACGCUGACAUGUAGGUGAAGUGAUUUACUCAUGGAGCUGAAGUCAGUCGAAGAUACCAGCUGGCUGCAACUGUUUAUUAAAAACACAGCACUGUGCAAACACGAAAGUGGACGUAUACGGUGUGACGCCUGCCCGGUGCCGGAAGGUUAAUUGAUGGGGUCAGCGCAAGCGAAGCUCCUGAUCGAAGCCCCGGUAAACGGCGGCCGUAACUAUAACGGUCCUAAGGUAGCGAAAUUCCUUGUCGGGUAAGUUCCGACCUGCACGAAUGGCGUAAUGAUGGCCAGGCUGUCUCCACCCGAGACUCAGUGAAAUUGAACUCGCUGUGAAGAUGCAGUGUACCCGCGGCAAGACGGAAAGACCCCGUGAACCUUUACUAUAGCUUGACACUGAACAUUGAGCCUUGAUGUGUAGGAUAGGUGGGAGGCUUUGAAGCGUGGACGCCAGUCUGCGUGGAGCCGACCUUGAAAUACCACCCUUUAAUGUUUGAUGUUCUAACGUGGAUCCGUAAUCCGGGUUGCGGACAGUGUCUGGUGGGUAGUUUGACUGGGGCGGUCUCCUCCUAAAGAGUAACGGAGGAGCACGAAGGUUGGCUAAUCCUGGUCGGACAUCAGGAGGUUAGUGCAAUGGCAUAAGCCAGCUUGACUGCGAGCGUGACGGCGCGAGCAGGUGCGAAAGCAGGUCAUAGUGAUCCGGUGGUUCUGAAUGGAAGGGCCAUCGCUCAACGGAUAAAAGGUACUCCGGGGAUAACAGGCUGAUACCGCCCAAGAGUUCAUAUCGACGGCGGUGUUUGGCACCUCGAUGUCGGCUCAUCACAUCCUGGGGCUGAAGUAGGUCCCAAGGGUAUGGCUGUUCGCCAUUUAAAGUGGUACGCGAGCUGGGUUUAGAACGUCGUGAGACAGUUCGGUCCCUAUCUGCCGUGGGCGCUGGAGAACUGAGGGGGGCUGCUCCUAGUACGAGAGGACCGGAGUGGACGCAUCACUGGUGUUCGGGUUGUCAUGCCAAUGGCACUGCCCGGUAGCUAAAUGCGGAAGAGAUAAGUGCUGAAAGCAUCUAAGCACGAAACUUGCCCCGA
This 1235-nucleotide ribosomal RNA is filed under the name Salmonella enterica subsp. enterica serovar Infantis. RNAcentral's name for it is "partial 23S ribosomal RNA". It matches the Rfam family "Bacterial large subunit ribosomal RNA", at positions 1586 to 2802 of the family's 2925-position model. The record is from RNAcentral. Lineage: Bacteria; Pseudomonadati; Pseudomonadota; Gammaproteobacteria; Enterobacterales; Enterobacteriaceae.